UUGCUGUAGAGUAUGUCGACGUUCAACAAGCCAAUGUGGCUGAAUUUGGUCCAUCAGCUCUUUCUCUAGUACAAGAAUGGCUAGCUAAAGUACUGUAAAAUAUUAUCCAGGCCAGCAGUCUGAGAACUUCCAAGCAAACAGAUGCUUGACUAUGAUGAGGAGACACAACGUGCUCUUUGUGUAAGUUGGAAAGGAGUCUCCACACAAGGAAGGGGCUCCGGAUGUUUCUUCGAAUCAGAGCAUAGCUUCCAAGAGCAGAGUGAGAGGACAUCCCUGCCUGCCAAACCCUGCCCUAACCCGGACGAUGCUGGGCCAAUUGUGCGCCGCCCCAUGGGUCUCCCGGUCACGGACGGCUGCAACAGAACCUCUAG
Molecule: long non-coding RNA, 371 nt
Organism: Oncorhynchus mykiss (rainbow trout)
Lineage: Eukaryota; Metazoa; Chordata; Actinopteri; Salmoniformes; Salmonidae
Source: RefSeq, a predicted model, not a curated record